This 216-nucleotide ribosomal RNA is filed under the name Glomeromycotina sp. RNAcentral's name for it is "partial small subunit ribosomal RNA". The stretch from base 87 to 216 matches the Rfam family "Eukaryotic small subunit ribosomal RNA", at positions 733 to 864 of the family's 1831-position model. Lineage: Eukaryota; Fungi; Glomeromycota. The record is from RNAcentral.
GGGUCAGUAGGUUGGUCGUGCCACCGGUACGUACUGGUCUCACUGAUUCCUCCUUCCUGAAGAACCGUAAUGCCAUGAAUUUGGUGUUGCGGGGAAUCAGGACUGUUACUUUGAAAAAAUUAGAGUGUUUAAAGCAAGCUAACGCUUGAAUACAUUAGCAUGGAAUAAUGAAAUAGGACGAUCGAUCCUAUUUUGUUGGUUUCUAGGAUUGACGUA